Molecule: non-coding RNA, 84 nt
Organism: Bombyx mori (domestic silkworm)
Lineage: Eukaryota; Metazoa; Arthropoda; Insecta; Lepidoptera; Bombycidae
Source: Rfam
UUGGCUCAUAUUUGUAUGGAAUGGGAUCGUUUGCCUACGUUUGCCACUAGGGGCGCUGUUCCAACUGCAUACAAAAUUGGGCUA